GCUUGUCUCAAAGAUUAAGCCAUGCAUGUCUAAGUAUAAGCAAUUAUACCGUGAAACUGCGUAUGGCUCAUUAAAUCAGUUAUAGUUUAUUUGAUGAUACCUCACUACAUGGAUAACCGUAGUAAUUCUAGAGCUAAUACAUGCGCAAAGUCCCGACUCUUCGGAAGGGAUGUAUUUAUUAGAUAAAAAACCAACCCUUCGGGUUCUUUGGUGAUUCAUAAUAACUAAUCGGAGCCCAUGACUUACGUCGGGGCCAGGUCAUUCAAAUUUCUGCCCUAUCAGCUUUUGAUGGUAGUGUAGUGGACUACCAUGGCAUUAACGGGUGACGGAGAAUUAGGGUUCGAUUCCGGAGAGGGAGCCUGAGAAACGGCUACCACAUCCAAGGAAGGCAGCAGG
RNAcentral lists this ribosomal RNA (396 nucleotides) under uncultured eukaryote. RNAcentral describes it as "partial small subunit ribosomal RNA". It matches the Rfam family "Eukaryotic small subunit ribosomal RNA", at positions 30 to 432 of the family's 1831-position model. The record is from RNAcentral.